UAACGACUCUCGGCAACGGAUAUCUCGGCUCUGGCAUCGAUGAAGAACGUAGCGAAAUGCGAUACUUGGUGUGAAUUGCAGAAUCCCGUGAACCAUCGAGUCUUUGAACGCAAGUUGCGCCCGACGCCUUCUGGCCGAGGGCAUGUCUGCCUGGGCGUCACGC
Molecule: ribosomal RNA, 163 nt
Filed under: Muraltia satureioides var. satureioides
Lineage: Eukaryota; Viridiplantae; Streptophyta; Magnoliopsida; Fabales; Polygalaceae
Description: 5.8S ribosomal RNA
Rfam family: 5.8S ribosomal RNA
About the family: 5.8S ribosomal RNA (5.8S rRNA) is a component of the large subunit of the eukaryotic ribosome. It is transcribed by RNA polymerase I as part of the 45S precursor that also contains 18S and 28S rRNA. Functionally, it is thought that 5.8S rRNA may be involved in ribosome translocation.
Source: RNAcentral